GCCCCUAUAGUUUAAUGGCUAAAAUACAUGAUUUCUACUCUUGAGCUUCGGGUUCGACUCCCGAUGGGGGCU
This 72-nucleotide transfer RNA is filed under the name Magnetococcales bacterium. RNAcentral describes it as "tRNA-Arg". It matches the Rfam family "tRNA". From Rfam's summary of the family: Transfer RNA (tRNA) molecules are approximately 80 nucleotides in length. Their secondary structure includes four short double-helical elements and three loops (D, anti-codon, and T loops). Further hydrogen bonds mediate the characteristic L-shaped molecular structure. tRNAs have two regions of fundamental functional importance: the anti-codon, which is responsible for specific mRNA codon recognition, and the 3' end, to which the tRNAs corresponding amino acid is attached (by aminoacyl-tRNA synthetases). tRNAs cope with the degeneracy of the genetic code in two manners: having more than one tRNA (with a specific anti-codon) for a particular amino acid; and 'wobble' base-pairing, i.e. permitting non-standard base-pairing at the 3rd anti-codon position. Lineage: Bacteria; Pseudomonadati; Pseudomonadota; Magnetococcia; Magnetococcales. The record is from RNAcentral.